This 609-nucleotide ribosomal RNA is filed under the name Streptomyces olivoverticillatus. RNAcentral describes it as "bacterial SSU rRNA". It matches the Rfam family "Bacterial small subunit ribosomal RNA", at positions 76 to 699 of the family's 1533-position model. Lineage: Bacteria; Bacillati; Actinomycetota; Actinomycetes; Kitasatosporales; Streptomycetaceae. The record is from RNAcentral.
CCCCUCGGGGGCGGAUUAGUGGCGAACGGGUGAGUAACACGUGGGCAAUCUGCCCUCCACUUCGGGACAAGCCCUGGAAACGGGGUCUAAUACCGGAUACCCGUUCCCGCCCGCAUGGGCGGAAACGGAAAGCUCCGGCGGUGGAGGAUGAGCCCGCGGCCUAUCAGCUGGUUGGUGAGGUAACGGCUCACCAAGGCGACGACGGGUAGCCGGCCUGAGAGGGCGACCGGCCACACUGGGACUGAGACACGGCCCACACUCCUACGGGAGGCAGCAGUGGGGAAUAUUGCACAAUGGGCGCAAGCCUGAUGCAGCGACCCCGCGUGAGGGACGACGGCCUUCGGGUUGUAAACCUCUUUCAGCAGGGAAGAAGCGCAAGUGACGGUACCUGCAAAAGAAGCGCCGGCUAACUACGUGCCAGCAGCCGCGGUAAUACGUAGGGCGCGAGCGUUGUCCGGAAUUAUUGGGCGUAAAGAGCUCGUAGGCGGCCUGUCGCGUCGGUUGUGAAAGCCCGGGGCUCAACCCCGGGUCUGCAGUCGAUACGGGCAGGCUAGAGUUCGGUAGGGGAGAUCGGAAUUCCUGGUGUAGCGGUGAAAUGCACAUAUAUCA